RNAcentral lists this ribosomal RNA (502 nucleotides) under uncultured bacterium. RNAcentral describes it as "partial 16S ribosomal RNA". It matches the Rfam family "Bacterial small subunit ribosomal RNA", at positions 30 to 523 of the family's 1533-position model. The record is from RNAcentral.
AUUGAACGCUGGCGGAAUGCUUUACACAUGCAAGUCGAACGGCAGCACGGGAGCUUGCUCCUGGUGGCGAGUGGCGAACGGGUGAGUAAUAUAUCGGAACGUAUCCAAUAAUGGGGGAUAACUAGUCGAAAGAUUAGCUAAUACCGCAUACGCCCUGAGGGGGAAAGCUGGGGAUCUUCGGACCUGGCGUUAAUGGAGCGGCCGAUAUCUGAUUAGCUAGUAGGUGAGGUAAAAGCUCACCUAGGCGACGAUCAGUAGCUGGUCUGAGAGGACGACCAGCCGCACUGGAACUGAGACACGGUCCAGACUCCUACGGGAGGCAGCAGUGGGGAAUUUUGGACAAUGGGCGCAAGCCUGAUCCAGCCAUUCCGCGUGAGUGAAGAAGGCCUUCGGGUUGUAAAGCUCUUUCGCAAGGGAAGAAAACUUAUCCUCUAACAUAGGAUGAGGUUGACGGUACCUUGAUAAGAAGCACCGGCUAACUACGUGCCAGCAGCCGCGGUAA